ACGGAGGAUGCAAGCGUUAUCCGGAUUAAUUGGGUUUAAAGGGUGCGCAGGCGGAUUAAUAAGUCAGUGGUGAAAUCCUACGGCUCAACUGUAGAACUGCCAUUGAUACUGUUAGUCUUGAGUAUUGUUGAGGUAGGCGGAAUGUGUCAUGUAGCGGUGAAAUGCUUAGAUAUGACACAGAACACCUGUCGCGAAGGCGGCUUACCAGGAAAUAACUGACGCUCAUGCACGAAAGCGUGGGGAGCAAACCG
This 251-nucleotide ribosomal RNA is filed under the name uncultured prokaryote. Its description in RNAcentral is "partial 16S rRNA". It matches the Rfam family "Bacterial small subunit ribosomal RNA", at positions 525 to 775 of the family's 1533-position model. The record is from RNAcentral.